GGGUAAAUUAAAAAAAACGAAACAAGAAUACAGGCUGAUCUGAGUACAUCGCAAAAGGGAGGGACCAACAUUGAAAAUAAACCCUCACCGCCAAAACGCGCGGGUCAUCAGGGUCAGGAAUUGGGUCGGUCGGGUCUAGCUUUGAACGCAGUCGUUUUGGAGCCAUUAGUUUGGCUUAAAACGAUGACGUCUGGAAGCCCUUUAUGACCACCGAAAGAAACCCUAAAAGGGUCUACAGCCAUCUUCAAAGGGUGAGAAAAAAAAGAACUAGGGUGCCCUCACCCUUCGCCGUUCACUGGUCUUUCGAAGGCCUAUUCUCCUGCCUCUCCUUUUGACUCAUUCGAGAGUCAAUCAAGGCUUCAUCGAAUCGAAAGACUCACGCGUCUUGCUCAUAAACCCCGAAUCGCCACUCGAUUUCGAUCAUGGCGAAGCAAGCAAGGGUUCGAAGGCAUCAAACGCAGGUGUGGGUGUGCUGGCGCUCGGGUACGGGUGGUGCGUGAAGGCCGUACGGAGGUGCGCAGGGGGCCGUACGGAGGCGCGGGCAUGGCUGCUGGAGGGUACUGAGCGUAUGGCGCAAGGAAGGGGGACGACUUAGGGUUUCUGAAACCUGUUAAGGAUAUGGGUUUAUUGGGCCUGUUCUUGUAGUUGGGCUAUCGUUUGGGCCUCUGGGGUAUUGGGUUAGGUUUUAACUAUUAGAUUUUAAUUGGGUCUUGGGUUAUGUUUUGGGUUUGUAUAUGGUACUUGGGGCAUCGGGCCCAUUGUAUUUAGUUUUGGGUAAUGGACUGUAAAAAAGGACUGUUUAUAAUAUCUGUUGGGUUUUUAAUAUAUAUAUUUAUUUAUUGUUAUA
Gossypium arboreum is the source of this 847-nucleotide long non-coding RNA. RefSeq lists it as uncharacterized. The transcript has 2 exons. Lineage: Eukaryota; Viridiplantae; Streptophyta; Magnoliopsida; Malvales; Malvaceae. The record is from RefSeq and is a predicted model, not a curated record.